CGCGGCCUAUCAGCUUGUUGGUGAGGUAACGGCUCACCAAGGCGACGACGGGUAGCCGGCCUGAGAGGGUGACCGGCCACACUGGGACUGAGACACGGCCCAGACUCCUACGGGAGGCAGCAGUGGGGAAUAUUGCACAAUGGGCGCAAGCCUGAUGCAGCAACGCCGCGUGGGGGACGACGGCCUUCGGGUUGUAAACCCCUUUCAGCAGGGACGAAAAUGACGGUACCUGCAGAAGAAGCUCCGGCCAACUACGUGCCAGCAGCCGCGGUAAUACGUAGGGAGCGAGCGUUGUCCGGAAUUAUUGGGCGUAAAGAGCUCGUAGGCGGUUCAGUAAGUCGGGUGUGAAAACUCAAGGCUCAACCUUGAGACGCCACUCGAUACUGCUGUGACUUGAGUCCGGUAGAGGAGUGUGGAAUUCCUGGUGUAGCGGUGAAAUGCGCAGAUAUCAGGAGGAACACCAGCGGCGAAGGCGGCACUCUGGGCCGGUACUGACGCUGAGGAGCGAAAGCAUGGGGAGCAAACAGGAUUAGAUACCCUGGUAGUCCAUGCCGUAAACGUUGGGCACUAGGUAUGGGAUCAUAUCAACGGAUUCCGUGCCGUAGCUAACGCAUUAAGUGCCCCGCCUGGGGAGUACGG
Molecule: ribosomal RNA, 639 nt
Filed under: uncultured Actinomycetes bacterium
Lineage: Bacteria; Bacillati; Actinomycetota; Actinomycetes
Description: bacterial SSU rRNA
Rfam family: Bacterial small subunit ribosomal RNA
Source: RNAcentral